UAUUGGUUGUUCGUGUGGUUCUCUCUUUUAAUUGGAUACGUUUUCUUGUUUCUGUUAUAGCGUGUUCUCUUAUGCGUGUUGAGCUUUGGCUGUGGGGUGUUUAGUUGUUAAUCGUGGGUUUUGAUUUCUGUUAUUGUCAAACAUUUCAGUAAAAAUGGUUGCAUAUUGGCGACAGGCAGGACUCAGCUAUAUCCGCUAUUCACAAAUCUGUGCCAGGGCUGUCAGAGCAGCGUUAAAACCUCAGUACAGACAGCAGGCUGAGAAAGCUGCAGAGUCCAAUGUAAAAUUGAUUAAAAAGGCAAAACAGUAGCAAGAUCCUGUUUUUCAACAUGUGCCUACAUCUGAAGUACUGGCUCUGUUCAACAGACAAGAUGUGUAUAGACUCUGAAAGGAAAACCUACAGCAUUAUUUAACCUCGUUUUGAAGAACUGUUAUGUUUGUGUGUACAUUGGUACCACAUUGCUAGAGAGAGAGAGAGAGAGAGCUCUGUUAUUUUUUUUCCUUUCGUUAGAAUUUGGCUCCACAUCACUGAAACUGCUGUAACAUUCAUUGUUACCUUUGACAACCUAAAACCUUGUAGUUGAGCUGUACAAGUCAGUAUGUUUAAUAAACAGUGUACAUGUGCAAA
Molecule: long non-coding RNA, 628 nt
Organism: Protopterus annectens (West African lungfish)
Lineage: Eukaryota; Metazoa; Chordata; Ceratodontiformes; Protopteridae
Exons: 3
Source: RefSeq, a predicted model, not a curated record